CAGUGGGGAAUAUUGGACAAUGGGCGCAAGCCUGAUCCAGCAAUGCCGCGUGAGUGAUGAAGGCCUUCGGGUUGUAAAGCUCUUUAACCCGGGAAGAAAAUGACGGUACCGGGAGAAUAAGCCCCGGCCAACUCCGUGCCAGCAGCCGCGGUAAUACGGAGGGGGCUAGCGU
This 172-nucleotide ribosomal RNA is filed under the name uncultured bacterium. Its description in RNAcentral is "partial 16S ribosomal RNA". It matches the Rfam family "Bacterial small subunit ribosomal RNA", at positions 352 to 541 of the family's 1533-position model. The record is from RNAcentral.